This is an RNA transcript of Glycine soja, 928 nucleotides long. It is a transcript of the gene named membrane magnesium transporter, with no coding region annotated. The transcript has 5 exons. The record is from RefSeq and is a predicted model, not a curated record. Lineage: Eukaryota; Viridiplantae; Streptophyta; Magnoliopsida; Fabales; Fabaceae.
UAGAGAGAAAAAAAAAUUAGCAUAUGAUGAAAGAUAGAGUAGUCCAAUUAACCGGAAAAGUGAAAACAGAGGAUUUUUAGGAGUAAAAAGUUAAAGCUAAUAAUUUUGCAAUUACAAUUGGAACAUUGUGGUGUCACUCGUACUCCUCGAAUUUUCCGAUCUUUCUGUAGUUGUCUCGUCUACGUCAACCGUCACCAACGUAGAUUGCACACAAAAAACAAUGGGUUUAGGUUUUGUUGUCGGAUUCCUCGGGCUUCUCAUUCUAUUUCAUGCCGCAUAUUCCACCAUCCAAUACAGGGGUUUGUUGAAGAUUACGGAGGAAGAGUUUUCAGGGCCUCCUUUGAAUGUGGUGAUUGAGGUGACUCUAGGGUUAGUUCUUUGCAUGUGGGCUGCACUAACCGUGCCAGGGAAAUUUUUGUCCAUCCACCCUCACUCUGAAGAGAACAGGAUUGUUUCUUUACCUUCCAACCUGGACUUCAUGAUCUUCAACCAUCGAUACAAAGUCUUUCCUGUGGAAAUGGAUGUGAAGCUGAAGCAUUGAGACCUUUUAUAUAAUCAGACCAAGUAACUUCAUUUCUUAUACGAGGAAGAAAAAUCUUUCCUCAAAAAAUGAAUAAUCUAUUUGUGCAUUUGAUUUUGAUAUCAGUGCUGGUUGAUGUAUGAGUUUUUGCAGAUUUCUUUUGUAGCUUCAUACCUUACAUUUCUGUACUGGGCACCUACCCGUCUUCUUAAUUUUGACGGCAAAAAUGCAGAAGCAAGGGAGGGGAAGCUUUUGGAUGAACGCUGAUUGCGUUUAAUUGAACAUUUAUGCAAACACGUUCAUUAUCAUUUUACUGAGAUGUCUGCGGCACCCAGAAUGGUGCAUCACUUCAAUUUUAUAAUGGUUUGGAAAGCUGUUAUUGCAUUGGAAGCGAGUUUAAAUUAACCA